AAGCAGCAUCGUAUAUACUCGCUUAAGCACGCGUCAGAUACAUAAAUUACUAACAACUAACAAGCAACAAGUAAAAGUUCUGAUGAGUUGUAAAUUGAAAUCAUUUGCAAAAUCUGGAUGACGAAUGACGUUUAUGCAGUUAUUGUUAAUAUCAUUCUGAAUAUUAAGAAAAAUCUGAUACUGCGUGGACAACAAAGUCUUACGGAUUUGGAAAUCGGAGCUUUUAGGCCAUGCUGAAUGUAAUAUCAGCGCCCGAGGGUCCACAAAGAAAAUCGGAGUAUGAUAGUCCCUGUUUGUGCUCUGGAUGUGGUGUAUCGCGAAAGCGUGAGAUAGAAUGCUGUACGAGUGCGUUCCAAUUUUAAUCCUAUCCCUGGCUGGAUAUUUGGCACACCGCAGCUAUUACUCGCCUUACCCUUUUUUACCGGAACCUUUGGAGCAUGCUAGAAACGUCUCAACCGACUUUGACCAAAAUCUGGAGGCCGCAAUCGAGGAUGCAAGAAAUGCCAUACCUCAGCCGGCUCAACGGACCGCUCUUCCGAUCGAUGCCAACCACACUGCCCAACCAGUAUCGGGGAUCGGCAGCAUUCUGAAGAUUCUGAUGGAUCCGGAGGAUUCUGGAGAUCGGCAAGAUUCCGGGCCAGCUGGUCUCGAUACCUGGCUGAAAAAUCUCGUGAGGCUCCUUGUGGCAGCAUGUAUACGGGCUGUAUGGGGCUUAGAUGCUGAUUCUUUAUUUAAACUUUCUGUAGUGUGUGCCGUUGCAUUCACAUUAUGCUUACUGUACGACAGCUGCACACUGAUUUUUAAUUCUGAAUGGACUUGGCUCUGUGCGAUGUGAAUGCAAAUGCACAGAGCCGGGGAAUUCCUAUUCUCUGUCUGGCUGUAUAUGAGCCGCAUUCUUUGUUUUCCCUUAUGGAUAAAAAAAGAUGAAAUAAACUGUAUAAUAUAAGAGACUGUAUAUUAUAAGAGACUACUGCGAAUAUAUCUAAUAAUUUU
Long non-coding RNA from Paramacrobiotus metropolitanus, 993 nucleotides. RefSeq lists it as uncharacterized. The record is from RefSeq and is a predicted model, not a curated record. NCBI's taxonomy places the organism in Eukaryota, Metazoa, Tardigrada, Eutardigrada, Parachela, Macrobiotidae. The transcript has 3 exons.